AUUGAACGCUGGCGGAAUGCUUUACACAUGCAAGUCGAACGGUAGAGGGGGCAACCCCCUUGAGAGUGGCGAACGGGUGAGUAAUAUAUCGGAACGUGCCCAGUCGUGGGGAUAACGUAGCGAAAGUUACGCUAAUACCGCAUACGAUCUACGGAUGAAANCGGGGGACUCGCAAGAGCCUCGCGCGAUUGGAGCGGCCGAUAUCAGAUUAGGUAGUUGGUGGGGUAAAGGCUCACCAAGCCAACGAUCUGUAGCUGGUCUGAGAGGACGACCAGCCACACUGGGACUGAGACACGGCCCAGACUCCUACGGGAGGCAGCAGUGGGGAAUUUUGGACAAUGGGGCGCAAGCCUGAUCCAGCAAUGCCGCGUGCAGGAUGAAGG
This 383-nucleotide ribosomal RNA is filed under the name uncultured bacterium. RNAcentral describes it as "bacterial SSU rRNA". It matches the Rfam family "Bacterial small subunit ribosomal RNA", at positions 30 to 414 of the family's 1533-position model. The record is from RNAcentral.